GAUGAACGCUGGCGGCGUGCCUAAUACAUGCAAGUCGAGCGAAUGGAUUGAGAGCUUGCUCUUAUGAAGUUAGCGGCGGACGGGUGAGUAACACGUGGGUAACCUGCCCAUAAGACUGGGAUAACUCCGGGAAACCGGGGCUAAUACCGGAUAACAUUUUGAACCGCAUGGUUCGAAAUUGAAAGGCGGCUUCGGCUGUCACUUAUGGAUGGACCCGCGUCGCAUUAACUAGUUGGUGAGGUAACGGCUCACCAAGGCAACGAUGCGUAGCCGACCUGAGAGGGUGAUCGGCCACGCUGGGACUGGGACACGGCCCAGACUCCUACGGGAGGGAGCAGUAGGGAAUCUUCCGCAAUGGACGAAAGUCUGACGGAGCAACGCCGCGUGAGUGAUGAAGGCUUUCGGGUCGUAAAACUCUGUUGUUAGGGAAGAACAAGUGCUAGUUGAAUAAGCUGGCACCUUGACGGUACCUAACCAGAAAGCCACGGCUAACUACGUGCCAGCCGCCGCGGUAA
This 515-nucleotide ribosomal RNA is filed under the name uncultured bacterium. RNAcentral describes it as "partial 16S ribosomal RNA". It matches the Rfam family "Bacterial small subunit ribosomal RNA", at positions 28 to 523 of the family's 1533-position model. The record is from RNAcentral.